AGUGAACGCUGGCGGUAGGCCUAACACAUGCAAGUCGAACGGCAGCACAGUAAGAGCUUGCUCUUACGGGUGGCGAGUGGCGGACGGGUGAGGAAUACAUCGGAAUCUACUUUUUCGUGGGGGAUAACGUAGGGAAACUUACGCUAAUACCGCAUACGACCUACGGGUGAAAGCAGGGGAUCUUCGGACCUUGCGCGAUUGAAUGAGCCGAUGUCGGAUUAGCUAGUUGGCGGGGUAAAGGCCCACCAAGGCGACGAUCCGUAGCUGGUCUGAGAGGAUGAUCAGCCACACUGGAACUGAGACACGGUCCAGACUCCUACGAGAGGCAGCAGUGUGGAAUAUUGGACAAUGGGCGCAAGCCUGAUCCAGCCAGACCGCGUGGGUGGAGAAGGCCUUCGGGUUGUAAAGCCCUUUUGUUGGGAAAGAAAAGCAGCAGGUUAAUACCCCGCUGUUCUGACGGUACCCAAAGAAUAAGCACCGGCUAACUUCGUG
Molecule: ribosomal RNA, 492 nt
Filed under: uncultured bacterium
Lineage: Bacteria
Description: partial 16S ribosomal RNA
Rfam family: Bacterial small subunit ribosomal RNA
Source: RNAcentral